Molecule: ribosomal RNA, 253 nt
Filed under: uncultured bacterium
Lineage: Bacteria
Description: partial 16S ribosomal RNA
Rfam family: Bacterial small subunit ribosomal RNA
Source: RNAcentral
UACGUAGGCAGCAAACGUUGUUCGGAAUUACUGGGCGUAAAGAGUGUGUAGGCGGUUAGGUAAGUUUGGUGUGAAAUCUCCCGGCUUAACUGGGAGGGUGCGCCGAAAACUGCCUGGCUUGAGUACUGGAGAGGAUAGCGGAAUUCCUGGUGUAGCGGUGAAAUGCGUAGAUAUCAGGAGGAACACCUGCGGUGUAGACGGCUAUCUGGACAGUAACUGACGCUGAGACACGAAAGCGUGGGGAGCAAACAGG